This 27-nucleotide transfer RNA is filed under the name Phelipanche ramosa. RNAcentral describes it as "tRNA-Leu". The record is from RNAcentral. RNAcentral also lists the same sequence under 2 other names. Lineage: Eukaryota; Viridiplantae; Streptophyta; Magnoliopsida; Lamiales; Orobanchaceae.
GCCUUGGUGGUGAAAUGGUAGACACGC